RNAcentral lists this non-coding RNA (165 nucleotides) under uncultured Fragilariaceae. Lineage: Eukaryota; Bacillariophyta; Fragilariophyceae; Fragilariales; Fragilariaceae. The record is from RNAcentral.
AGUGUCAGUCUUUAUAAUUCGACUGAGAAUGUGGAAUCUGAUCCUGAAAAACAAGCCAUGAUUAACAUGAACAGCACCAGGCAAAACAGUAGCAUACGAAAGCUCAAGAAGCGAACUUCUGCUGCUCAUCUUGGAGGUGUAGUAUAAUACUUGUGUAAGAUUGUA